UUUUUUUAUUUGCAAUUUUGCCUGGCUGUGGAGGAUGGAAGUCGACAUAUAUAGGAGUAUCCCUAACAAUAAGUAGUAGUGCUAUUCCUUUACCCUUUUUUGUUAUAGCAAUGUAGUGGGAGCUAUAAGCUUCACGUGUUUUAACUUUGUCAGAGCACUUUGAAAAAGUGGUAUGUGGUAUCUGGAAAGCUAAUGUUGCGUGUGAAGAUUGCAGACAAACUUUAUCCGAGGAAAUCUGGCUCUCGAAGUUCGGAGAGCGGUGCCUUUUCG
Molecule: long non-coding RNA, 270 nt
Filed under: Malus domestica (apple)
Lineage: Eukaryota; Viridiplantae; Streptophyta; Magnoliopsida; Rosales; Rosaceae
Description: long non-coding RNA (MDOM_LNC015010)
Source: RNAcentral